UCUACGGGAGGCAGCAGUAGGGAAUCUUCCGCAAUGGACGAAAGUCUGACGGAGCAACGCCGCGUGAGUGAUGAAGGUUUUCGGAUCGUAAAGCUCUGUUGUUAGGGAAGAACAAGUGCCGUUCAAAUAGGGCGGCACCUUGACGGUACCUAACCAGAAAGCCACGGCUAACUACGUGCCAGCAGCCGCGGUAAU
RNAcentral lists this ribosomal RNA (195 nucleotides) under uncultured bacterium. Its description in RNAcentral is "partial 16S ribosomal RNA". It matches the Rfam family "Bacterial small subunit ribosomal RNA", at positions 338 to 524 of the family's 1533-position model. The record is from RNAcentral.